UCAACUGAGGGGCUCUCCAGGCCUUCUGAGCUUCCUGCUGGGUCCCACCCAUCUGAACCUGGAGCUGCUGCUGCACCCACCACUGGGAAAUAUGUGCCUAGGUUCAAGCGAGAGAGAGCCGUAGGCUCUGGACAAGCCCCACCUUCAGAAUCUGAUCACUGGGGUAGUGGCAGUCAGGCCCCACCUUCACAAUCUGAUCGCUGGGGUAGUGGCAGCAGGGCACCACCUCAGGAUCCUGAACGUGUAGGCAGUGGUGCUAGCAGGCCCCUCCCUCAUGAUUCCGAUCGUAUGGGUGGUAGCAGGGCUCCUCAGGAGCCUGAUAAAUGGGG
Molecule: long non-coding RNA, 329 nt
Filed under: Theobroma cacao (cacao)
Lineage: Eukaryota; Viridiplantae; Streptophyta; Magnoliopsida; Malvales; Malvaceae
Description: long non-coding RNA (TCAC_LNC000114)
Source: RNAcentral